GAAAAGAAACCACUUAAUUCCCAGUAGGGAAACGGGGGAACCAAUCGAAGCCGUUCAAGCAAUACUUGGCUUCAUGGGGUGAAUCCUGAUGCUCGCAAGCAUUAGGUAGGACGCUCUCAAGUCCGAAUCCGACAGCUAACCUCGUAGGUGUAUUGAGAGAGAACCG
Molecule: small RNA, 166 nt
Filed under: Paenibacillus sp.
Lineage: Bacteria; Bacillati; Bacillota; Bacilli; Caryophanales; Paenibacillaceae
Description: c-di-AMP sequence
Rfam family: c-di-AMP riboswitch aptamer (ydaO/yuaA leader)
About the family: This family represents a conserved RNA structure found upstream of the ydaO and yuaA genes in Bacillus subtilis and related genes in other bacteria.
Source: RNAcentral